This 657-nucleotide long non-coding RNA is filed under the name Monodelphis domestica (gray short-tailed opossum). RNAcentral describes it as "lncRNA (ENSMODG00000032370.2)". Lineage: Eukaryota; Metazoa; Chordata; Mammalia; Didelphimorphia; Didelphidae. The record is from RNAcentral.
CUCCACUAACAAAACUGAUUAAAUUCCUAAGAACAAUCCAUAGGAGAAAAUACAUAUUUCUCAGGCUAUUAUUUAAAGGUCUUCAUAAUCCACUCAGUGCAUACCUUUCCAUUCUUAUCUCCCACUACUCCCCUUUGUGGAAAGGAAACAAGACUGACAGUUUGUGGGGGAAGGGCCCAAGUGGGAGUGGCAGUUGGGUCUUGUGACUAGCACUUCCUUCCUGCCGGGUGGGACUUGCAUCCUGGUGUUGGAGGAGAGGGGAGCUUGUUCAGCCCAGUCUGGAGAGGCAUGCUCUUCUUGGUUCAGCCGAAGACACAGGCUUCUAAAGGAGAAUCAACACCACUUAAGACACAUUGCUGGGGACUGGGAGAACAUAAUCUGGAUCUCCUGGCAAGUUGUGGCCAUGUGGGUGGCAAUCAAGGUUCUGUCUGCACAUUCAUCAAGAUUAGCAUUACCGGGACUUCCAAUCAAGAUGGUGGUGUAGAAGCAGCGAAAGUUCAGACCUCAGAAACCCUUCCCUACUGAUCGCAAACAGUGCUCCUAGGCCACCGAAAUUCAAGCUGAACAACAGGAUAGACCUGGGGAAACCUCCUCCUGGACCUGGAUCAAAAGGUACCACACCCCAAAAGCCAGAACCCUAGAUCACUCGGAUCUAAG